UGGGGAAUAUUGGACAAUGGGCCACAAGCCUGAUCCAGCAAUUCUGUGUGCACGAUGAAGGUCUUCGGAUUGUAAAGUGCUUUCAGUAGGGAAGAAUAAAUGACGGUACCUACAGAAGAAGCGACGGCUAAAUAUGUGCCAGCAGCCGCGGUAAUACAUAUGUCGCAAGCGUUAUCCGGAUUUAUUGGGCGUAAAGCGCGUCUAGGCGGUUUACUAAGUCUGAUGUGAAAAUGCGGGGCUCAACUCCGUAUUGCGUUGGAAACUGGUAGACUAGAGUACUGGAGAGGUGGGCGGAACUACAAGUGUAGAGGUGGAAUUCGUAGAUAUUUGUAGGAAUGCCGAUGGAGAAGUCAGCUCACUGGACAGAUACUGACGCUAAAGCGCGAAAGCGUGGGGAGC
RNAcentral lists this ribosomal RNA (399 nucleotides) under uncultured bacterium. Its description in RNAcentral is "bacterial SSU rRNA". It matches the Rfam family "Bacterial small subunit ribosomal RNA", at positions 355 to 769 of the family's 1533-position model. The record is from RNAcentral.